GCAAACAAAGACUAAGUUUUGGGGAGUUGAUAAGUGUGCAUUUUGCCUGUUUUGAGCAUCCAUUUGUCAUCACUUUAGCAUCAUAUCAUCACUGUUUUAUAUCAUUUGUCAUCAUUUGUCAUCACUUUGCAUGUUUAGGAUAGUUUUGCAUGCAUGUUGCAUAUUUGUGUUGUUUUCAGGUGAUUUGGAGCUGUUGACGAGCUAAUUCAAAAAAGCGGACCUGAUCAUGUCAAACCACUCGACCCCCUGGUCGAGUAGACGCUUCACGACCUCAACCGACCACUCGACCCCCCUGGUCGAGUAGAAGACUUGACCACUCGACCACCUG
Molecule: small RNA, 328 nt
Filed under: Arabidopsis thaliana (thale cress)
Lineage: Eukaryota; Viridiplantae; Streptophyta; Magnoliopsida; Brassicales; Brassicaceae
Description: ATSL158570
Source: RNAcentral